GGGGGGGGGGGGGGGGGGGCUGGGCACGGGCAGGGCGAGCGGAGAGGCCCGGGUUUUGUGGGGUGCUCGAGUGGCGAACGGGUGGGUAACACGUGAGUAACCUGCCCUGGACUGUGGGAUAACUUCAGGAAACUGGGGCUAAUACCGGAUAGGAGCUCCUGCUGCAUGGUGGGCGUUGGAAAGUUUCGGCUGUUGGGGAUGGACUCGCGGCUUAUCAGCUUGUUGGUGGGGUAGUGGCUUACCAAGGCUUUGACGGGUAGCCGGCCUGAGAGGGUGACCGGCCACAUUGGGACUGAGAUACGGCCCAGACUCCUACGGGAGGCAGCAGUGGGGAAUAUUGCACAAUGGGCGGAAGCCUGAUGCAGCAACGCCGCGUGCGGGAUGACGGCCUUCGGGUUGUAAACCGCUUUCGCCUGUGACGAAGCGUGAGUGACGGUAAUGGGUAAAGAAGCACCGGCUAACUACGUG
RNAcentral lists this ribosomal RNA (468 nucleotides) under uncultured bacterium. Its description in RNAcentral is "partial 16S ribosomal RNA". It matches the Rfam family "Bacterial small subunit ribosomal RNA", at positions 38 to 507 of the family's 1533-position model. The record is from RNAcentral.